UCACGUAUCCACGUACAAACCACUGUGAACUGUUCUCCCUUUCGGAGGUGCUGGGUUUGGCUAGAUCGAUAUCGCUUCGCUGUCGUGAUAGAAGUGUGGUCUAGCCGUUCCUGAACUCGCUUCAGGACGCCUGUAUCUUUGAAAGCGGUUAUUAUCACGCAACCUUAAACUUUAUUAACCCCUUUAACCUUUAUGAACUGAAAUUAAGCUUGAUGCGAAGGAGUGCCUCGGCAUUCUUGAAGUCAAGUCUUUAUUACGAAACUAUGAA
This 268-nucleotide unclassified non-coding RNA is filed under the name soil metagenome. RNAcentral's name for it is "partial internal transcribed spacer 1". The record is from RNAcentral.